CCUACGGGGUAGCUGCAGUGGGGAAUAUUGGACAAUGGGCGAAAGCCUGAUCCAGCCAUGCCGCGUGUGUGAAGAAGGCCUUCGGGUUGUAAAGCACUUUCAGUGGGGAAGAAAGCCUUGGGGCUAAUACCCUCGAGGAAGGACAUCACCCACAGAAGAAGCACCGGCUAACUCCGUGCCAGCAGCCGCGGUAAUACGGAGGGUGCGAGCGUUAAUCGGAAUUACUGGGCGUAAAGCGCGCGUAGGCGGUCUGAUAAGCCGGUUGUGAAAGCCCCGGGCUCAACCUGGGAACGGCAUCCGGAACUGUCAGGCUAGAGUGCAGGAGAGGAAGGUAGAAUUCCCGGUGUAGCGGUGAAAUGCGUAGAGAUCGGGAGGAAUACCAGUGGCGAAGGCGGCCUUCUGGACUGACACUGACGCUGAGGUGCGAAAGCGUGGGUAGCAAACAGGAUUAGAUACCCGAGUAGUC
Molecule: ribosomal RNA, 466 nt
Filed under: Vreelandella stevensii
Lineage: Bacteria; Pseudomonadati; Pseudomonadota; Gammaproteobacteria; Oceanospirillales; Halomonadaceae
Description: partial 16S ribosomal RNA
Rfam family: Bacterial small subunit ribosomal RNA
Source: RNAcentral